UUAGCCGCCCACGACUUCUCUCUUUCUUGCAACCGACGCUGCAGUUCAUGUCCUGCUGUUACGAUUGCCCAAAAAAAAAAGAAAAAUAAUCACAAUUCACAUAAUGUGCUAUAGGAUAAGGAGUACCUGAGGAUUGUGACUGAUGAGGUAAACUGGUGAAGGGGCUUAUACAUUGGACGGUGGGUGUGAAUGACAUAGUCCUUCAAUCGCGAUGAAGUUUGCUUGACUUUGUGGCCUCGUCCCAGUUGUUCACUCACGCCCCCCUUGGCUUCCAUCUCAAUUAACUGAAUAAUCUCAGCCUCAUUUGGGAGCUGCGACUGCCCAACAUCGACCCCCUUUUCUCAUGUAAAGAGUCGGCAUCCUCAUCACCCCUAUUAUCACAAAUCACAUCUCCAUCUUCCGCAACUCGCCGUUACAACCCACUGUCGCCACCGCUUCCAUCGCAGUUCGCCUCCGACGCAGCCGCUGCCAUCAAAGCCUCCAUCGCCGUUCGCCGCCGUCAUCCACGCCUCCAUCGCCGACGACGACUUUUCCCCUUCUCCACUAAUUCACUCUAAUUGCCCUAAGGGUCUUAGAUUAGAACCCCCUUCUGGGGGUAGGGUCAAGACCAGUGCCUGUUCCUUCGCUCAAGCUCUUGGUUCGCUCCUUCUUGUGUUGCAUUCUGUGAUCCUCCGUUUUGGGUGUGUGUUUUUCUGAUAGCCGGGACCCGAGGUUGAUUUCCUAUUUAAAUGUCAGUUCCACCGUGAUCAGCUAGGCCAAGCUCAAUCCCCGUUGCGGUUACGGAGCAUGCUAGAUGGCGUGGUUUAUGGUCAUUGUUUCAGUUUUUGUACUCUGGGUAGCUUCUCUGUGCAAGAUCCUCUACUCGUCAUACUCAUCUUCCAAGGCUACAUUCUUGAGUGAUGGUGGUGGAGGCCUUGGUCAGAAGAAUGUCUUGCUGGUCAUUGCCCAUCCAGAUGACGAGUCUAUGUUUUUUACUCCAACAAUUAAUUAUCUCAUGUCAAGGCGGCAUAAUUUGCGCAUGCUGUGCAUAUCAACUGGUGAUGCAGAUGGGAUGGGAAGCAUUAGGAAAGAAGAACUCUAUAAGGCUUCUGCAAUCCUAAAGGUUCCACUCCAGCAAGUAAAGAUUCUGGACCACCCCCAUUUGCAGAUAAUUACUUUUGAUGACUAUGGUGUUUCGGGUCACUGUAAUCAUCGUGACGUGAAUCAUGGGAUACGCAAGCUCCUGCUUAAUAAUACAAAAAGAGAUGUUGAAGCUUGGGAACUUGUUGUUUUCCUCGUCGGCCCAGCAUUGCAGAGUAUUUUGGUUACAUGUCUAUGGACAAGGUUAGUACUAACAUAUUUCGCAAGUACUGUGGACCAGUUGAUAUCUGGUUCUCCCUGGUUUAUGCCAUGUACCAUCAACACGAAGAUUCACAUUGCAUGCUGAAUGAGAAUCCGGUUAAAAGCUACAAUGCAAUGGCACAGCAUAAAAGCCAGUGGGUUUGGUUCCGGAAACUUUUUGUUUUGUUAUCCAGUUAUACUUAUGUUAACACCCUGAGGAGGAUCGACGCGUAGGUGCAGAUGAGGUUAUAUGGUAUGGACCAAGCUGAAGGAUUCUUCUUCAGUUCAGACCGCGAUAUCAGAUUUUUUGCCGCCCGUGAAUCGGACGGACUCCGGCGGCGGCGAAUUGCUUGUUUUCCUUUGAGAUAUCCGUCCGAGUUUCCGGCAAUGGGGCUAGUAGGUAUGUUACUGCUGUCUGCCUGCAGAUACUUAAGAUCAGAUAUUUGGUAUGGUAAUAUUUUCUAUAAAAAAUAUCAUUAUAUUGCAUGUUAAUUACGUUGGGUUUUAUUUUUGCAACAAAUUUAUUUUGGCCUGAUGAGUUGGGCCAAAUUAUUAUUAUUAUUAUUUUACCUUUA
RNA transcript from Diospyros lotus (date-plum), 1895 nucleotides. RefSeq lists it as uncharacterized. NCBI's taxonomy places the organism in Eukaryota, Viridiplantae, Streptophyta, Magnoliopsida, Ericales, Ebenaceae. The transcript has 11 exons. The record is from RefSeq and is a predicted model, not a curated record.